AGUGGCGCACGGGUGAGUAAUGUAUAGUUAACCUGCCCUCGAGAAAGGAAUAACAGUUGGAAACGACUGCUAAUGCCCUAUAUGCCUUUAAGACAUAAGUCUACAAGGGAAACGCUUUUGUGCUCGAGGAUGGGACUGUAUGGUAUCAGAUAGUUGGUGAGGUAAUGGCUCACCAAGUCAAUGACGCCUAACUGGUUUGAGAGGAUGAUCAGUCACACUGGAACUGAGACACGGUCCAGACUCCUACGGGAGGCAGCAGUGGGGAAUAUUGCACAAUGGAGGAAACUCUGAUGCAGCAACGCCGCGUGGAGGAUGACACUUUUCGGAGCGUAAACUCCUUUUAUAUAGGAAGAUAAUGACGGUACUAUAUGAAUAAGCGCCGGCUAACUCCGUGCCAGCAGCCGCGGUAAUACGGAGGGCGCAAGCGUUACUCGGAAUCACUGGGCGUAAAGAGCGUGUAGGCGGGUUAAUAAGUCAGAAGUGAAAUCCUAUAGCUCAACUAUAGAACUGCUUUUGAAACUGUUAACCUAGAAUAUGGGAGAGGUAGAUGGAAUUUCUGGUGUAGGGGUAAA
RNAcentral lists this ribosomal RNA (572 nucleotides) under uncultured bacterium. RNAcentral describes it as "bacterial SSU rRNA". It matches the Rfam family "Bacterial small subunit ribosomal RNA", at positions 94 to 685 of the family's 1533-position model. The record is from RNAcentral.